Delphinapterus leucas (beluga whale) is the source of this 107-nucleotide small nuclear RNA. Lineage: Eukaryota; Metazoa; Chordata; Mammalia; Artiodactyla; Monodontidae. The record is from Ensembl.
GUGCUUGCUUCAGCAGCACAUAUACUAAAACUGGAACGAUACAGAGAAGAUUAGCAUGACCCCUGAGCAAGGAUGACACAGAAAUUCUUGAAGCGUUCCAUAUUUUU